UCUUGUUCACGGUCAUUUGUGACCAAUUCAUUCUUGGCCAUUUGGUGGACCUGUAGCUCUACUCCAGCAAGGAACAAUUUUAUGAUGAAAAAGAAAUAGCAAGGAAAAUAAAAACAAAUAAAAUGUACUAAAUCAACCGAAAAAAAGUUAGGUGUACAUUAAAAAAAAAAAAGUAGAAGGAAAUGAAAAUUACCGUGAACCAAAACUGAGUUUCUAAACCCCAAAAUCUCCUAUCCAUUUUCAUCUCCCAACCCCUAAACCAAAACUCAGUAUCCACCCA
This 280-nucleotide long non-coding RNA is filed under the name Gossypium raimondii (Peruvian cotton). RNAcentral's name for it is "long non-coding RNA (GRAI_LNC009996)". The record is from RNAcentral. Lineage: Eukaryota; Viridiplantae; Streptophyta; Magnoliopsida; Malvales; Malvaceae.